UGGUGGAGUGAUUUGUCUGGUUUAUUCCGAUAACGAACGAGUCUCUGGCCUACUAACUAGCGCUUGAAUCUUUCGUUUGACGCGCUUCUUAGAGGGACAAGCCAGUGCUCAGCUGCAUGGGAAAGAGCAAUAACA
Molecule: ribosomal RNA, 135 nt
Filed under: uncultured eukaryote
Lineage: Eukaryota
Description: partial 18S ribosomal RNA
Rfam family: Eukaryotic small subunit ribosomal RNA
Source: RNAcentral